Triticum aestivum (bread wheat) is the source of this 135-nucleotide non-coding RNA. Lineage: Eukaryota; Viridiplantae; Streptophyta; Magnoliopsida; Poales; Poaceae. The record is from Rfam.
UUAGUACUCCCUCCGUCCGAAAAUACUUGUCAUUAAAAUGGACAAAAAGAGAUGUAUCUCGAACUAAAAGACGUCUAGAUGCAUCCCCUUUUAGCCAUUUUAAUGACAAGUAUUUCCGGACGGAGGGAGUAGUAC